Lycium barbarum (goji berry) is the source of this 1961-nucleotide long non-coding RNA. RefSeq lists it as uncharacterized. Lineage: Eukaryota; Viridiplantae; Streptophyta; Magnoliopsida; Solanales; Solanaceae. The record is from RefSeq and is a predicted model, not a curated record. The transcript has 3 exons.
UUCUUCAACUCCAGACCUUAAAACACCUCAUAAACUCUCUUAAGCUAUUCUCUAUGGAGCAAGAUCAAUUCUAAGAGCUAAGCAAGCUAAUCUAACGCAAGAAAGUCCGGGGUAAUCAUAGAAUCAUCGUUUCUACAUCGUUUCGCUUUUCUGAAGGAUCCUUCAUCUCGAAAUAAAUUUGAUGCUGGAUUAAUUCCUAUAAAUUAAGUUGUAAAGGAUAUGAGGGAUCAUGGGACGGGAUUCGCUUCAACAACGAGAUGCAGGUAUAUAGGUCGGUGCGCCUCCCUAGUAGGGUACCCGAGUUCAGCAGUUGGUUGUCGCACUCUACUUCUCCGGAGUUAUUGGUCAUAGUCAUCGGGUAGGAUACAUGCAUGUAUGUGUAUAUAUAUAUAUAUAUAUAUAGACACACACACAUACAUACAUACAUAUAUUUUAUGGUUAUAGGGGGCCCUAUUCUGACCAGUUGAUGCAUCUUAGUACUCCUAGAGGCUUAUAGACUAUCAGUCAGUGCAUAUGUGUUUUGUCGGCCUUCUGGAUAGUUGUCUUUCUUGGUUAUGGCCUUGUCGGCCUUAGAUAUGCAUAUAUGUAUUGUUAGGCCUUUCUGCCUACAAUUUGUUAUGUUUUAUUCUCAUUAUUAUCAUUUACCGACUUUCUCGGCCCACGGUUCAUGUUAUAGAGUUCAAAUAUCACAGUUGGUUCGCUCGGGCCUUCGGGUGCUGGCUGCCGGCCACACCCCCUAAGGUUGGGGUGUGACAAUUGCUCACGUAGUUAGCAGCUGCAUCGUAAGUUUUAAGUCAUUUUCAUGAGGCACGAGUAUCUAAUACAAUAGAAUGAUCCUAAAGAGAAUUUCAAACUUUACAACAUGAUCUAGAAUAAAGGAGAGUAAGAAACACCUAUAAUGUCUUGGUAGUCAUACAUCCAUACAAGUGGCUAGUUUUCAUGAAGAAAGCUCCACUAGACACAGCUCCGCACAAAAUUCUAGGACACUUAUAAACCUAGAGCUCUGAUACCAAGCUAGUCACGCCCCGAAACCAACCCUGGCACAACAAGCAUCCGAUGCUAUUAACAACAUCGGAAGUACCUUAUAAAAUCAAUAAACAUCUAAUCUCUUUCGAUAAUCUUUCACCUUUUAUUUAAAAUAGUCAUUUCAGGCUAACCGAAAUCAUACUCAUACUUAUAAAAAUAUGCAAAAGUUUUAUAGGAAUAAGAUGCCAUAAAACAUGGCAAAUACCCCCAACAAGUCAUACGAGACUUCAACAAUCUACUCACAAUUCUGACAACUAUCUAUGGAGCUUCUAAGAUAAAUAAAUGUAUGGAUUAACGUUGGGACGCAACUCGAAAACUAAAAGCAACAAACUAUGAUAGAGAGGUGUCCCAUGAAUAAGGAUGCGGGCUCACCAAUAAGUCUGAAAAGCAGCAAGUUCUCCUACUCCGUACACAUAUCACGAACCUGCUCUUCUUCAUUAUCUAACAUACCAUAAAAAACAACAAUUGUAUGCCUGAGUAUUGGGUACUCAGUGAGUGUCUCAGGGGAAAUAGUUAGUAAUCCAAAAUAAGAUAGCUACAGUAAAACUUGUGAAUCAAUAGUAGUAAAACAGUUUGAAAGUAAGAGAUAGAGAAAACUUCAUCAACCUUAGUAUAACGCAUAAGAAAUAUACCAAUUUCAAUCCGUCAAACCUUUUACCACAUUAAGUAUUUUAUUUCGGAAGACACGAGUAUCACAAGCCACUCACAAGCAACCAAAAGAUUAACACACGCCGACUCAGGGGCGAAUAAUCAUUCGAUACACCGAGGCUGGUAUCCCACGAAGUCUAAUCGCCUUCUGGACUAGCACAACAAUAGAUACGCCAAGCUACACGCCUCAGAGGUCAAUCUUCCUCUGGACUAACACAAUAAUAGAUACACUAGGUUAUACGCCAGAGAGGUUAAUCAUCCUCUAGAAUGACACAAUAAUGCUCAUA